GAUGAACGCUGGCGGCGUGCCUAAUACAUGCAAGUCGAACGAAAGGUCGUGAAGCUUGCGUUCUUGCUGUUAGCGGUGGACGGGUGAGUAACAAGUGGAUAACCUACCUAUAAGCCAGGGGUCACAUCGGGGAACCGGAGCUAAUACCGGAGAAUCUUAUGCACCAUAUGGUUCAAAAGUGAAAGACGGUCUUGCUGACACUUAUUGAUGGACCCGCGCUGCAUUAGCUAGUUGGUAAGGUAACGGCUUACCAAGGCAACGAUGCGUAGCCGACCUGAGAGGGUGAUCGGCCACACUGGAACUGAGACACGGCCCAAACUCCUACGGGAGGCAGCAGUAGGGAAUCUUCCGCAAUGGGCGAAAGCCUGACGGAGCAACGCCGCGUGAGUGAUGAAGGUCUUCGGAUCGUAAAACUCUGUUAUUAGGGAAGAACAUAUGUGUGAGUAACUGUGCACAUCUUGACGGUACCUAAUCAGAAAGCCACGGCUAACUACGUG
RNAcentral lists this ribosomal RNA (497 nucleotides) under uncultured bacterium. RNAcentral describes it as "partial 16S ribosomal RNA". It matches the Rfam family "Bacterial small subunit ribosomal RNA", at positions 28 to 507 of the family's 1533-position model. The record is from RNAcentral.